AAAGACUGACGCUCAGGCACGAAAGCGUGGGUAGCAAACAGGAUUAGAUACCCUGGUAGUCCACGCCGUAAACGAUGUCUACUAGCAGCUUGACUCGUCAAGAGUCGUUUUGCGCAGCUAACGCAUUAAGUAGACCGCCUGGGGAGUACGGCCGCAAGGUUAAAACUCAAAUGAAUUGACGGGGGCCCGCACAAGCGGUGGAGCAUGUGGUUUAAUUCGAUGCAACGCGAAGAACCUUACCAUCCCUUGACAUCCAGAGAAUUUACUAGAGAUAGUUUAGUGCCUUCGGGAACUCUGAGACAGGUGCUGCAUGGCUGUCGUCAGCUCGUGUUGUGAAAUGUUGGGUUAAGUCCCGCGACGAGCGCAACCCUUAUCCUUAUUUGCCAGCGAUUCGGUCGGGAACUCUAAGGAGACUGCCGGUGACAAACCGGAGGAAGGUGGGGACGACGUCAAGUCAUCAUGGCCCUUACGGGAUGGGCUACACACGUGCUACAAUGGUAAGUACAGAGGGUUGCGAA
This 518-nucleotide ribosomal RNA is filed under the name uncultured bacterium. RNAcentral's name for it is "bacterial SSU rRNA". It matches the Rfam family "Bacterial small subunit ribosomal RNA", at positions 735 to 1253 of the family's 1533-position model. The record is from RNAcentral.